CCUCAGAUCAGGUAGGAAUACCCGCUGAACUAAGCAUAUCAAUAAGCGGAGGAAAAGAAACCAACAGGGAUUGCCCCAGUAGCGGCGAGUGAAGCGGCAAGAGCUCAGAUUUGAAAUCGUGUUUCGGCACGAGUUGUAGAGUGUAGGCCGGAGUCUCUGCGGAACACAGUGUCCAAGUCCCUUGGAACAGGGCGCCUGAGAGGGUGAGAGCCCCGUGGGGCGCUGUGUGAAGCUCUGAGGCCCUGCUGACGAGUCGAGUUGUUUGGGAAUGCAGCUCUAAGUGGGUGGUAAAUUCCAUCUAAGGCUAAAUAUUGGCGAGAG
RNAcentral lists this ribosomal RNA (321 nucleotides) under Pichia membranifaciens. RNAcentral's name for it is "eukaryotic LSU rRNA". It matches the Rfam family "Eukaryotic large subunit ribosomal RNA", at positions 1 to 332 of the family's 3401-position model. Lineage: Eukaryota; Fungi; Ascomycota; Pichiomycetes; Pichiales; Pichiaceae. The record is from RNAcentral.